GACGAACGCUGGCGGCGUGCUUAACACAUGCAAGUCGAACGGAAAGGCCCUGCUUUUGUGGGGUGCUCGAGUGGCGAACGGGUGAGUAACACGUGAGUAACCUGCCCUUGACUUUGGGAUAACUUCAGGAAACUGGGGCUAAUACCGGAUAGGAGCUCCUGCUGCAUGGUGGGGGUUGGAAAGUUUCGGCGGUUGGGGAUGGACUCGCGGCUUAUCAGCUUGUUGGUGGGGUAGUGGCUUACCAAGGCUUUGACGGGUAGCCGGCCUGAGAGGGUGACCGGCCACAUUGGGACUGAGAUACGGCCCAUACUCCUACGGGAGGCAGCAGUGGGGAAUAUUGCACAAUGGGCGGAAGCCUGAUGCAGCAACGCCGCGUGCGGGAUGACGGCCUUCGGGUUGUAAACCGCUUUCGCCUGUGACGAAGCGUGAGUGACGGUAAUGGGUAAAGAAGCACCGGCUAACUACGUG
Molecule: ribosomal RNA, 468 nt
Filed under: uncultured bacterium
Lineage: Bacteria
Description: partial 16S ribosomal RNA
Rfam family: Bacterial small subunit ribosomal RNA
Source: RNAcentral